ACUCAGGUUGCAGUGAGAUCCAGGGAGAGCCAGAAGUGAGGCGCCCAGAGAAGUGUUCACUUGUGGCUCGAAGUCCAGGUGUGAUACUGCAUGAAAACCCCCCGAUUUGGCCAUCCAGAGCAUGGUAAUCAAGAAACGCCUAGAUGUUUCCAAAAAUGGAUUGGGUGUCCCUCCAAGUGUUCAUGAAAAGGUUGAAUUUCCUCUUGGUGGGGAGUUACAGAGGAGAUUAGCAGAUCAGGCUGAAUUAGGGCCUCACUGUGUUACCCAGGCUGGAGUGCAGUGGUGCAAUCACAGCUCACUGCAGCCUCGACUUCGCAGGCUUAAGCACAUCUCCCACCUCAGUUUCCCAAGUAUCUGGGACCACAGGGACAUGGAUGAAGCUGGAAACCAUCAUCCUCAGCAAACUAACACAGGAACAGAAAACCAAACACCGCAUGUUCUCACUCGUAAGUGGGAGUUGAACAAUGAGAACACAUGGACACAGGGAGGGGAACAUCACACACCGGGGCCUGUCAGGGAGUGGGGGGCUAGGGGAGGGAG
This 540-nucleotide long non-coding RNA is filed under the name Homo sapiens (human). RNAcentral describes it as "HSALNT0344944". The record is from RNAcentral. Lineage: Eukaryota; Metazoa; Chordata; Mammalia; Primates; Hominidae.